GUUCGGUGCGCGGCCGGGGCCGGAGUUCGCUGCAAGUCGGCGGAAAGUUUGGCUGCGCGGGUUCCCCCGAAGUUCAGAAGGUGAUGCUUCCGACGGGAGCCGCCUUCCGGUGGUUUCAGUGACGGCGGCGGAACCCAAAGCUGCCCUCUCCGUGCAAUGUCACUGCUCGUGUGGUCUCCAGCAAGGGAUUCGGGCGAAGACAAACGGAUGCACCCGUCUUUAGAACCAAAAAUAUUCUCUCACAGAUUUCAUUCCUGUUUUUAUAUAUAUAUUUUUUGUUGUCGUUUUAACAUCUCCACGUCCCUAGCAU
This 310-nucleotide long non-coding RNA is filed under the name Homo sapiens (human). Its description in RNAcentral is "HSALNT0095177". Lineage: Eukaryota; Metazoa; Chordata; Mammalia; Primates; Hominidae. The record is from RNAcentral.